Molecule: long non-coding RNA, 297 nt
Organism: Labrus mixtus (cuckoo wrasse)
Lineage: Eukaryota; Metazoa; Chordata; Actinopteri; Labriformes; Labridae
Exons: 2
Source: RefSeq, a predicted model, not a curated record
UCAAAUCUAUAAAAAUAGUAUUUAAAUAAAACAUAAACUCUGCGCAUUAAGAACAUUUUCAGACACUGGACAGCUGGCUGAUUAAUACACUAACAUUUAUAUAAAAGUGGUAUAGAUACCUUGAAGGCCAUAGGGAGCUCAACGAUGUAGAGAUCCACAUAGUCUAGUUUUAAGAUUUUCAUAACAAAUCGUCUUACCUUUCCACAGUAAAAGAUGUCCUCUCUUUUCACGACUCCCUCAGCAAUCUUCUGUCUAAUGGCUUGACCCACUUCAUGCUCAUUGAAGUACACCAGAGCC